GCUCAGUAAAAUGAACUCCCUGGGAGCUUGUUUUGUCGAAUUUUGCAAGCUUCUUGGGAGCUCAGCAAAAUGAACUCCCUGGGAGCUUGUUUUGUCGAAUUUUGUAAGCUUCUCGGAAACUCAAUAAAACGAACUCUCUGGAAGCUUGUUUUGUCUAAUUUUGUAAGCUUCUCGGGAGCUCAGCAAAAUGAACUCCCUGGGAACUUGUUUUGUCGAACUUUGUAAGGUUCUCGGAAACUCAACAAAAUGAACUCCCUGGAAGCUUAAUCGGAGCUUUGUGCUGUAUGGGAACAUAUAUGGACAUAUUUUUUAUAUAUUUAUAUAUGUUUUAUAUAUGAAACAUUUUUUUUUGGAGGAGGGAAGAUGGCGUGAUUGAGAGAAUUCGCGAUUUAGAAAGCUCCGGAGUGAAAAGGUGGUGAGUGGUGAAGAAGAUAAAAGUGAGAAGCAUGAGUGGAAAAUUCGGAAAGAGGAAAUUGGAGAGUGAUCGGUCAAUUGGAGGGAAAGUAAGAGAGGACGGAGGAGAGAAGAAAUGAGAAGAGAAGUUGCAGAGAAUUUCGGAUGCGAGGGAGAUUAACAUGGAGUAUAGAGGCAAUGUACGGGAAGAGGAGAUCAGGAAGAGGGCGACAGGAGAAAAAGUGAGGAUGGAAGGAAUGUGGUCUGAAGGUGUGGGGAGAUGGCGCGGUGGUGGAGCAGUGGAGAGGAAGAGCAGCGCCAUUUAGAAGAAGGAAAUGUGGACAGCAGAGACAUGGCGGGUGUUUGGCGGGAGCGUAGGAAGAUGUGAAUAAGGUUGGCAGGAGUGAAGGGGAAAGACGGUAGCGAGUUUGGGAACGCUGAGUUCCAAAACACGUGGUCCGUCGGUGAUACAUGGUUAUAGAAGCAGAGGCAGUGGCGGAAAGUCAGUGUUAGCGGCAAAAUAAGAAAUUGAGCAGAACUAAAGAAGAGAUAAAGAGGACUAAACAGGGCGAGAGAAAAGAGAGAUGGAGGAAAUUAGGAGAGAGAUGAGGAGUCUGAGAGCGAAGAUGACAAAAGGACUGAAGGAGGUUAGGGAAAAGCUGAGGUGCUUAGAGGUGAGGAUAGAAGUGUUAGAGGGAGAGGGAGAAAGAAGGGAGGAGGAAGAAGAGAGGAAGCCGAAAGGAAAGAGGAACUGGCAGGAUGACGGAGGAGGAAGCUAAGAGAACCGGAUGGUGACAAGGGAAAAGAGAAGAAGGGGUGAAGAAGACAGGAAGGGAAGAGGAAAGAGGGGUGAGGAGAGAGAGGGGAGGGAAGGAAGGAAGAAACCAAGGAGGAAGGAGAGAAGAGGGACGACAGUCAGAAGGAGACGACGAGGAGAAGAGGAGCACGGAGAAAGAAGCGGAGGGGGAUGGAGAUGGGAAAAGGGGUAGCGAGGGAAAAGGAGAGAGAGGACGGGAAGCAUGAAGAAUAGUGGAAAGGGAAAUAGAGAAGAGAAUGAAGGAGAGGGUAGAGAGGGAGGGGUGGGAAAGGGUGAAAGUGACAGAGAGGGAAAGAAGGGCGAAAGAGGUAAGGAGGAGAAACAUAAUAUGGAGGGGGGUGGAAAGGGAAGGGGGGAUAGAAAGAAGAGCGAUAAUCGAAGAUAUUAUGAAAAGGGAGAUGGGGAGAGAGGUGGAAAUGGGACAGGUAACAGAGAGGGUGGGGGAAGGGGGGAAUAGUGGUGAUAACAGAAGUGGUGCGGGAAGAGGACAGAAUGGUUACUGGAGAGGAAGGCGGAUAUCAAGAGGCGCUGGGAAGUAAGGAUAGACGAGGACCUAUCCAUGGAGGAGAGGAGAAUUAGAUGGAGGAUGCUGGAAAGGGCAAAUGAGGAGAGGAGUAAGGGAAAAAAGAUGUAUGUGGAAAAUAAGAGUAUGUGGGUGAACGGGGUGGAGUGGAUAUGGGACAAGGAAAAAGAGGUGAGAUAGGGGAAUGGGAGAGGGUAAAGGGGAAGAGAACUGAGGUGGGGAAGGAGUGAGGGAGGAAGGAGGGGGGACGAAUGGAAGAGAAACAAUAAUCAGUGUCCGAUUUAUAUUCUUAGGAGAAGACGGAGGAGAGUGGAGAGAGGAAACCACGAGAGAGAGGUGCGAGUGGAACGGAAAAGGAAGGGAGAGAGAAGGAGGAAGACAAUGGAGAGAGGAGAAAGGAAGAGAGGCCCACAGAGAGGGAGCUGGAGGAGAAGAUCGAAGGAGAUGAGGCCGAGGAAGCAACAGAGGUGUAUGGUGGACGAAGAGUUGGAAAGGAGGGCCGGAGGAAGAAGUAAAGAUGGAGGUUUGGAAGGAGAGGGAUGGGGUGGCGAGAAGGGGUGGGGGGAAAUAGAUUGUAAAAGGUCGCAUAUGGCCAGGUCGGGAAAUGAGAGUUAAUGUAUUGUAAGCGGUUUGGGAACGCUCCGCAGAGUAAAAGCGCUUUGUGACUCUGAAAAGGAAGCAAUAAAGUUCUAUUCUAUUCUAUUCUAUAUGAAACAUUUUUUUCCGGGAUUACAAGAUCGCGAAUAGAAUAAAUGUAAAAAGCGAAGGUCAUAUUUGAUCAAAGCAGGAUCUUAAUGCUUAAUAUUAAUUUAUUUACUUAUUUACUUAGGAGCAAAAGUAUGGAUAUUAAUUAUUAAUAUUAAACACCAAGAUUCUUUUUCGACCAAAUACGGUCUUCUUUCGUUCUUUAGAUAAAAUCGUUUAUUAAUAACACAAAUUUAUAUAGGUUAGGUUAUUGAAUAGUGUUUAUUAUUCUUAAUAUUUAAAUAGUAGAUCUAAUAGUAUUUAGGAAAUACAUACAUACCCAGAUGAUUGUUCUACGAUACCGUUCAUAUUUUCACAACACUUAUUUCGUUUAAAACAAAUGCAUGAAUUUGGUUAUAUGUGUUCUUUAUAAAAUUUUAAAAUCGCGCGCAAGAGCAGACUUUUUCGUGGACUUGUCACGCGAUUGGUAAAAUUUCUGUAUUUCUUAACUUUUGUCCGUGACUGUCCUUCAAUCAUUUGUGACGUCAACCGACGAUUGAAAUCCACCGACGAUUGUCGAUAGUACCCGUGUCGAAAAUAGGGUCGCAUUGUUUCUGUCGGUCGUGCAACCGAUAACCGUCGGUAACGACCGAUACCGACAGUCGUCAGUGGGCAAGUACAGAAUUGGGCCCCUGAGUUUCUGUAUUCAUGUUCGGGAGAUGAGCGGCUCCUAAGAACUCAUGGUAAAAACGGAGAAUUCUUCAUCCUGCUCUCACCGACUUGAAUGGGAAGGAAAUGAAUGGAGUAGAACCGAAAAUGUUUAAUUAAGGUAGAGAACUCUUUACCCCGAUUUCUACUCCGGAAUGCUUUUUGGAUUCGGUAUCCAGCGGAUCGAAUUGCUAGAUGCCAGCGAAAAAAAGUGUCUUCUUUGAUCUUUAUGUGGUUUUUUAUAUUUCUCCAAGCGGAGGCUCGGCAUUCUUCGACUGUGUCCGGUAGAAUUCGGAUUUUAGCCUCUUGACUCGGGAUUCUAGACGGGAGCGCGCGUACGUAUUGCCUGCGAGUGGUAUUCUUGGUGCUAACGGUUUUAUUUUGGAGCGUUUAAUACUUGUUGUUUAGUGCUUGCUGACGGGGCUCUGUUAUAAGUUUCAAAACUACCAUUUGACUAUUUAUUUAAAAAUCUAAAAAGUAUAUCAAAUAUAAUUCAAAUCUUUAAGGUUAAUUUCGAACUUUGAAGUUUACUUUGAACUUUGAAACUUCGAAACUUCAAUUUUUUUUUAAUUUCGACUAUUUGAAAUUGACAAAAGUAACAGACCUAAUAUAAAAUGUAAGAAACAGAUUCAAAGUUUUAUAACUUAAAAGUUUUUCAAAUCUUUAAAUAUUUAAAAUUGUCAAAAGUACUCAAGUAGAGAAAAAUGCCAUUUAUAAGUCAAGAUGACAUAAAAAUAUAGUCAUUUGUAAAAAAUCAAAAUGAUAUUAUUUAAUACUUUCAUUGAAUAAUAAUGACUUUAAUAUGACUAUAUUUUGACUUUUUAAUGACUUUCGCUGAGAAAACGCAAAUUGCUUGUGUAUACAAAAUGAUUAAAAUCUUGUGUAUUGUAGAUUUACCGACAAUAUUUACCGGUUUCAUGAUGUAAUAGCUUCACUUACAAUUAGUCGAUGCAAUUAAUUGCAAUGUGAAGUUAUAAAUGUUCAUACACAUUUAUAUUUGCAUUCACAUAUGUAUUCGGAUGCACGUAUAUUAAGGAAAAAUUCUAUGUCGUACAAGAAAGACUGUUUAAUUUCCGUUAUAAAUUUGCACGUAAUUAAACGUAAUUUUGCUCAAUUCGAUUCAUGAACACUCAUACGUGAAUAGACACGACACCCGGAUAACGACGGCGCCGCGACACUCACUUUUCUUUUGCUUCUAGAAGUCUGUGCAAAAGGCGCUGCACAAUAUGCAAGUCAUAUUCUUAUCAUGAUAAUAUCAUUUUUAAAAAGGUUAUUUUGAAUUUAUAUACUACUAUUUAAAACCUAACAUUUAAGUACGAAUGUCGGAAGUAGACUAAAUUUAAAUUAUCGCAAACUAUAAUAUUUAAACAGUAUAUCUAAAUUUUAAAAUUAUAAUUUGAUCACUUUUUGAUCAAGAUUCAAAUGUGACUGCUGAUAAUUAUAAUGAAAUCAUUAUGAUGUUAUUGUGAUAUUAUAGUGAUUUUUUGUUCUACUUAGGUAAGAACUUUAAUAUAAAAUAUAUAAAAAGAAAUAGGUGAACAUUGUGUGAGAUGUAUACAAAAAUUUGUUGCAAUAUUUAAGAUGCAUAAUUUCUUAUGAAACAAAGGAGAAUGUUAAAAAAGUCUGAUUUUUAGCCCACCAAAGAAACUUUAGUUCAGUGCAUUAAUUUGUUUAAUGGGACUUAUUACAAUGGGAAUGCAUGAAUAUAAAAUUAUCAUUCAAAUAUUUUAUCAAAAUAAAUCCAUUGAUUAAAUGAAAAAAUCUAAGAUGGCUGAUUCAAAAUAUUUGUACUUGAGUAAAAUCACAUAAUUUAUUUUAUAAAAGAAAAAAUUCUAAAUGUCGAAUUUAUGAAAUUAGAGAAAAUUUAUUAUUUAGAAUUUUUUUUUUGGUAUUUAAAAUAGUGACUCCAAGAUGAUAGUAUUUAUAUCACAAUAAAAUUUCAUAUUUAAACGUUGAUAAUAAGAAUAUUUGGCGAUUAUAAAUCUCUGUUGCGUUAAUUGCAGCAUAUAUUCAAAUGCUAUUUUAACUCUUAGAAUACGAACUAUAAAAAAGUUACGAUUUGUAUGAAUUUGGGUUGGCGUAACCCACAAACUUUGUUGGCUCAUAUCUCCGAAUAAAUUCAAUCAAUUUCAAUGUUUUUUUUCAAUCAAAAUGAGAAAGACUCAGGAUUAUGAUGGUCUGGUUGAAAAAUCAAAGAUAUUAAAAGAACAUAAAUUUUUUUAAAUAAAUGAGAAAGAAAAAAA
Molecule: long non-coding RNA, 5368 nt
Organism: Monomorium pharaonis (pharaoh ant)
Lineage: Eukaryota; Metazoa; Arthropoda; Insecta; Hymenoptera; Formicidae
Exons: 2
Source: RefSeq, a predicted model, not a curated record